This 550-nucleotide ribosomal RNA is filed under the name Hortaea werneckii. Its description in RNAcentral is "eukaryotic LSU rRNA". The stretch from base 183 to 336 matches the Rfam family "5.8S ribosomal RNA". Lineage: Eukaryota; Fungi; Ascomycota; Dothideomycetes; Mycosphaerellales; Teratosphaeriaceae. The record is from RNAcentral.
UUCCGUAGGGNGACCUGCGGAGGGAUCAUUACUGAGUGUGGGCUCCGGCCCUACCUCCAACCCCAUGUCGAAACGACUCUGUUGCCUCGGGGGCGACCCGGCCUUCGGGCGUCGGGGCCCCCGGCGGACACCUUCAUAACUCUUGCAUCUCUUGCGUCUGAGUGAUACAUAUAAUCAAUCAAAACUUUCAACAACGGAUCUCUUGGUUCUGGCAUCGAUGAAGAACGCAGCGAAAUGCGAUAAGUAAUGUGAAUUGCAGAAUUCAGUGAAUCAUCGAAUCUUUGAACGCACAUUGCGCCCCCUGGCAUUCCGGGGGGCAUGCCUGUUCGAGCGUCAUUACACCACUCAAGCCUGGCUUGGUAUUGAGCGCCGCGGCCUGCCCGCGCGCUCCAAUGUCUCCGGCUGAGCCGUCCGUCUCUAAGCGUUGUGAAUAGCGAUCGCUUGCGAGGCCCGGGCGCGCUCGACGCCGUUAAACCCCCCAUUUUCUAUGGUUGACCUCGGAUCAGGUAGGGAUACCCGCUGAACUUAAGCAUAUCAAUAAGCGGAGGAA